CCUACGGGGGGCUGCAGUGGGGAAUAUUGGGCAAUGGGCGAAACCCUGAUCCAGCGACGCCGCGUGAAGGAAGAAGGCUUUCGGGUUGUAAAGCUCUAUCGACAGGGAAGAGCAGAAGACGGUACCUGUCGAAUAAGCCACGGCUAACUACGUGCCAGCAGCCGCGGUAAUACGUAGGGGGCAAGCGUUGUCCGGAUUUACUGGGUGUAAAGGGCGUGUAGCCGGGCUGGCAAGUCAGAUGUGAAAGCCGGGGGCUCAACCCCCGAACUGCUUUUGAAACUGUUGGUCUUGAGUGUCGGAGAGGCAAGCGGAAUUCCUAGUGUAGCGGUGAAAUGCGUAGAUAUUAGGAGGAACACCAGUGGCGAAGGCGGCCUACUGGACGGCAACUGACGGUGAGGCGCGAAAGCGUGGGGAGCAAACAGGAUUAGAUACCCUUGUAGUC
This 442-nucleotide ribosomal RNA is filed under the name uncultured bacterium. RNAcentral describes it as "partial 16S ribosomal RNA". It matches the Rfam family "Bacterial small subunit ribosomal RNA", at positions 338 to 795 of the family's 1533-position model. The record is from RNAcentral.